UACGAAGGGGGCUAGCGUUGCUCGGAAUCACUGGGCGUAAAGCGCGCGCAGGCGGCACUCUAAGUACGUCGUGAAAUCUCCUUGCUCAACGGGGAGGGUGCGAAGUAGACUAGGGAGCUAGAGGUCGGUAGAGGUGAGUGGAACUGCGAGUGUAGAGGUGAAAUUCGUAGAUAUUCGCAAGAACACCAGUGGCGAAGGCGGGUCUCUGGGCCGAUACUGACGCUGAGGAGCGAAAGCGUGGGGAGCGAACAGG
This 253-nucleotide ribosomal RNA is filed under the name uncultured bacterium. RNAcentral's name for it is "partial 16S ribosomal RNA". It matches the Rfam family "Bacterial small subunit ribosomal RNA", at positions 524 to 776 of the family's 1533-position model. The record is from RNAcentral.